CCCUUAGAUGUUCUGGGCUGCACGCGCGCUACACUGACGCACGCAACAGGUGCCUGCUCCGAGAGGACUGGGUAAUCAUUUGAGUGUGCGUCGUGAUGGGGAUAGAAUAUUGUAAUUAUUACUCUUCAACGAGGAAUUCCUAGUAGACGUAGUUCAUCAGACUGCAUCGAUUACGUCCCUGCCCUUUGUACACACCGCCCGUCGCUCCUACCGAUUGAAUGCUCAGGUGAGCCAUUCGGACUUUCAUCAUGCUGGUUUCCAGUUUUGAUGAAGGAAAGUCUUGCGAACCUUAUCAUUUAGAGGAAGGAGAAGUCGUAACA
This 320-nucleotide ribosomal RNA is filed under the name uncultured eukaryote. Its description in RNAcentral is "partial 18S ribosomal RNA". It matches the Rfam family "Eukaryotic small subunit ribosomal RNA", at positions 1470 to 1796 of the family's 1831-position model. The record is from RNAcentral.